Molecule: ribosomal RNA, 534 nt
Filed under: Ruwenzorisorex suncoides
Lineage: Eukaryota; Metazoa; Chordata; Mammalia; Eulipotyphla; Soricidae
Description: partial 16S ribosomal RNA
Rfam family: Bacterial large subunit ribosomal RNA
Source: RNAcentral
CACCUCUAGCAUUACCAGUAUUAGAGGCACUGCCUGCCCAGUGACAUUAGUUUAACGGCCGCGGUAUCCUGACCGUGCAAAGGUAGCAUAAUCAUUUGUUCCUUAAUUAGGGACUCGUAUGAACGGCCACACGAGGGUUUAACUGUCUCUUACUUUUAAUCAGUGAAAUUGACCUCCCCGUGAAGAGGCGGGGAUGCAAAAAUAAGACGAGAAGACCCUAUGGAGCUUAAAUUAAAUUAUCCAACAAGCCCAGACCUUAACCCAACAGGAAUAACUCUAUCUUAACUGGAUAAUAAAUUUUGGUUGGGGUGACCUCGGAGCACAACCUAACCUCCGAGCGAUUUAAAUCAAGACUUACUUGUCAAAAUAACAAUAUUAAUUGAUCCAAUCAUAUUGAUCAACGGAACAAGUUACCCUAGGGAUAACAGCGCAAUCCUAUUUAAGAGUCCAUAUCGACAAUAGGGUUUACGACCUCGAUGUUGGAUCAGGACACCCAAAUGGUGCAGCAGCUAUUAAAGGUUCGUUUGUUCAACG